This 89-nucleotide microRNA precursor is filed under the name Myotis lucifugus (little brown bat). Its description in RNAcentral is "miRNA (ENSMLUG00000020211.2)". The record is from RNAcentral. Lineage: Eukaryota; Metazoa; Chordata; Mammalia; Chiroptera; Vespertilionidae.
GCGCUGUGUGUGUGUGUGUGUGUGUGUGUGUGUGUGUGUGUGUCUGCUGGGGGCCUACCCCCAGCCACACCCUGAAGGCUUCAAGCAGG